GGGUGAUUAGCUCAGUUGGUAGAGCGCUUCGUUUACACCGAAGAUGUCGGGAGUUCGAGUCUCUCAUCACCCACCA
This 76-nucleotide transfer RNA is filed under the name Enterococcus hirae. RNAcentral describes it as "tRNA-Val". It matches the Rfam family "tRNA". Rfam says of the family: Transfer RNA (tRNA) molecules are approximately 80 nucleotides in length. Their secondary structure includes four short double-helical elements and three loops (D, anti-codon, and T loops). RNAcentral also lists the same sequence under 1005 other names. The record is from RNAcentral. Lineage: Bacteria; Bacillati; Bacillota; Bacilli; Lactobacillales; Enterococcaceae.